Molecule: transfer RNA, 73 nt
Filed under: Zingiber officinale
Lineage: Eukaryota; Viridiplantae; Streptophyta; Magnoliopsida; Zingiberales; Zingiberaceae
Rfam family: tRNA
About the family: Transfer RNA (tRNA) molecules are approximately 80 nucleotides in length. Their secondary structure includes four short double-helical elements and three loops (D, anti-codon, and T loops). Further hydrogen bonds mediate the characteristic L-shaped molecular structure. tRNAs have two regions of fundamental functional importance: the anti-codon, which is responsible for specific mRNA codon recognition, and the 3' end, to which the tRNAs corresponding amino acid is attached (by aminoacyl-tRNA synthetases). tRNAs cope with the degeneracy of the genetic code in two manners: having more than one tRNA (with a specific anti-codon) for a particular amino acid; and 'wobble' base-pairing, i.e. permitting non-standard base-pairing at the 3rd anti-codon position.
Source: Rfam by way of RNAcentral
GGGGAUGUAGCUCAGAUGGUAGAGUGCUCGCCUAGCAUGCGAGAGGUACGGGGAUCGAUACCUUGCAUCUCCA